UUCCCAAGUGAUGAGUUGCACACAUCACCAGUGCUUGUGGAGUUCCCAGGUACUGGCUGAUACCAUGAUGACAUCUAGAAUGCACAGGGGCCAUCUGAUGGGA
Small nucleolar RNA from Actinia tenebrosa (Australian red waratah sea anemone), 103 nucleotides. RefSeq annotates it as small nucleolar RNA SNORD67. The record is from RefSeq and is a predicted model, not a curated record. Lineage: Eukaryota; Metazoa; Cnidaria; Anthozoa; Actiniaria; Actiniidae.